CAAAAUUGGAAGGCUAUAUUGACUUAAUAUUUCAAUAGAGGGAUUUUGUUAAGGUUUUACCUUAGUCCAUUUAGCCGUUAAUUGAUCUCAUCAAUUAAUAUUUAAAAUUUGGCAUGCUUUAGACAUCCAUAGCAUCUCAUACAUGAAUAAAUAAAGCAAUAAAUAAAUGCAAUAGUUAUAGCCCAUAAAAUAAGGUGGUGCAACCCAAGCCAAUGGGAAAACCAAAUGGAAACCUAAAGGUGUAAGCCGUUUCACAAGCUAUCGAUCCACACUAG
RNAcentral lists this long non-coding RNA (275 nucleotides) under Gossypium barbadense (sea-island cotton). RNAcentral describes it as "long non-coding RNA (GBAR_LNC022513)". The record is from RNAcentral. Lineage: Eukaryota; Viridiplantae; Streptophyta; Magnoliopsida; Malvales; Malvaceae.